Alosa sapidissima (American shad) is the source of this 771-nucleotide long non-coding RNA. RefSeq lists it as uncharacterized. The transcript is spliced from 4 exons. The record is from RefSeq and is a predicted model, not a curated record. Lineage: Eukaryota; Metazoa; Chordata; Actinopteri; Clupeiformes; Clupeidae.
GCAUCAAGGCCGUUUCAGUUCAUCAGUUAGCCAAGCCACGUGGUUGGUGAAGGCUAGCACUGACCUUUCUGACUUGAUGGUUUAAGUUCAAUGGUGAUUUAAUGGUAAUGGUAAUUUUUCACAGGUUAGUUUAGGUUCUGUUCGUGCAAGGGAUGUGAGUUUAUAGUGUCUAACUAGUUAUAUUAAAUGCUGUUUUGUUUUGAUUUUGAAUUUUUUUUUUCUUUUUUCUUUUUCAGAAUAUGAAGUGGAUGGGGAAACUGUUAAUGGUGGCCUGACGGACCUUAUGAUUUCCCAGCUCUUUGAGGGGUCCUUCAAAAAGCAAGUAAAGUUCAUAAACCUGAUCUCUCAGCUGAAAACAGAAAUUUGCUAUGUUGCAGCUCCUGCUUCAAUGUCUGAAUUAAGGUAUCCUUCCGGUGAAGAUUAUGUGAAGGCUGCCAAGGCACUUUGUUGCCAAAUACCCUUUCUUGAAGGACUUGGAGGGGAAUGGAUAUCAUAUGUUGCACAUGUCAUUAAAAAGGAAGUUCAAAACUGAACGAUCACCUCUUGUGGAUGAAGAACAGGUCAAACAGUUCAAAGCGAAAUUUGGUCAUCGCAAGGGCCAAGUCCAAACAGACACCAAGCCAGAUAACAUGUGAAAGAAGAUGCGAAAUGGAUCAUGAGUCUCAAGGUCCUGUUGGCGAAGAUGCAGUCUCAAUUGAUGCCCAUGUAAAAGUCUUACAAAUGCAGUAUGAACGGACUCAACCAGAUAGUGCCAUAGUGGAGGAAAAAAUG